RNAcentral lists this ribosomal RNA (497 nucleotides) under uncultured bacterium. RNAcentral's name for it is "partial 16S ribosomal RNA". It matches the Rfam family "Bacterial small subunit ribosomal RNA", at positions 28 to 507 of the family's 1533-position model. The record is from RNAcentral.
GAUGAACGCUGGCGGCGUGCCUAAUACAUGCAAGUCGAGCGAACGGAUGAGGAGCUUGCUCCUCUGAUGUUAGCGGCGGACGGGUGAGUAACACGUGGAUAACCUACCUAUAAGACUGGGAUAACUUCGGGAAACCGGAGCUAAUACCGGAUAAUAUAUUGAACCGCAUGGUUCAAUAGUGAAAGACGGUCUUGCUGUCACUUAUAGAUGGAUCCGCGCUGCAUUAGCUAGUUGGUAAGGUAACGGCUUACCAAGGCAACGAUGCAUAGCCGACCUGAGAGGGUGAUCGGCCACACUGGAACUGAGACACGGUCCAGACUCCUACGGGAGGCAGCAGUAGGGAAUCUUCCGCAAUGGGGGAAAGCCUGACGGAGCAACGCCGCGUGAGUGAUGAAGGUCUUCGGAUCGUAAAACUCUGUUAUUAGGGAAGAACAAAUGUGUAAGUAACUGUGCACAUCUUGACGGUACCUAAUCAGAAAGCCACGGCUAACUACGUG